UUGGAGGGCAAGUCUGGUGCCAGCAGCCGCGGUAAUUCCAGCUCCAAUAGCGUAUAUUAAAGUUGUUGCAGUUAAAAAGCUCGUAGUUGAAUUUCGGGAUUGACACAUCGGUCGUGCCUUAAGGGGUAUGAACUGGUGUAGUCAAUUUCCCACCUUCUGGAGAACCGCGAUGCCCUUAAUUGGGUGUCGCGGGGAACCAGGACCUUUACUUUGAAAAAAUUAGAGUGUUUAAAGCAGGCAUUUUGCUUGAAUACAUUAGCAUGGAAUAAUAAAAUAGGACGGCAUGAUUCUAUUUUGUUGGUUUCUAGGAUCACCGUAAUGAUUAAUAGGGAUAGUUGGGGGCAUUAGUAUUCAAUUGUCAGAGGUGAAAUUCUUGGAUUUAUUGAAGACUAACUACUGCGAAAGCAUUUGCCAAGGAUGUUUUCAUUAAUCAAGAACGAAAGUUAGGGGAUCGAAGACGAUCAGAUACCGUCGUAGUCUUAACCAUAAACUAUGCCGACUAGGAAUCAGACGAUGUUAAUUUUUUAAUGACUCGUUCGGCGCCUUACGGGAAAC
RNAcentral lists this ribosomal RNA (555 nucleotides) under uncultured Glomus. RNAcentral's name for it is "SSU rRNA". It matches the Rfam family "Eukaryotic small subunit ribosomal RNA", at positions 548 to 1098 of the family's 1831-position model. The record is from RNAcentral. Lineage: Eukaryota; Fungi; Glomeromycota; Glomeromycetes; Glomerales; Glomeraceae.